Grammomys surdaster is the source of this 101-nucleotide small nucleolar RNA. RefSeq annotates it as small nucleolar RNA U13. The transcript has a single exon. NCBI's taxonomy places the organism in Eukaryota, Metazoa, Chordata, Mammalia, Rodentia, Muridae. The record is from RefSeq and is a predicted model, not a curated record.
AUCCUUUUUUAGUUCGUAAACAAAGCAAUUGGGUGUUCACAGAAUAUGUACCUGGCCUCCCCUAAACCUUGUUCAGACAUUGGCACAUUACCCAUCUUAGA